Molecule: long non-coding RNA, 850 nt
Organism: Sapajus apella (tufted capuchin)
Lineage: Eukaryota; Metazoa; Chordata; Mammalia; Primates; Cebidae
Exons: 3
Source: RefSeq, a predicted model, not a curated record
AUGAAAAAGAGGUCAAGAAACCCUCUGAAGGCCAGGAUCCAGGAGAAAAAUUGGCAACAACUGUUUUGGUGAACAAAUUUUACCAAAGCAAACAAGAAGUAUCUCCCUCCACCCUCCAUGCCCUGCUCCCAGCAGAUACUUUACUAAGAUAUUAACAAUUCCUGAAUUAAUUUCUUAAAUGCACAUUCUUCUUUUAUAGAUAUGGAAAUAGAUCUCUGGUUAUUUUUGAUGAGCCAAUACAUCCACUUUCACAAGAAAAGAUUCCAGGGAAAUCCUUUGAGGAUGAUCCCAAAUGCAACUGCAUUUUCAGAUAUUUCUGUACUCUUUUUAAAGUCACAAAACUAACAGCUCCAGGUGCAAUCGUAGCAUUGGUGUACAUUGAACAUCUUUUAACUAAUGCUAACAUUGAUCUUUGUCCUACUAAUUGGAAACAAAUUGUCCUCGGAGCCAUGCUUCUGGCCUCCAAGCUUUGGCGAAAUCGUCAUCUGUGGAGUGGGGAUGACAGCCAGAAUCCCAAGGAUGUUGCAGCUGAGACAAUGUGAGUUUCUAAGGUUUUGGCAAACUGUGUCAUCAUUUUCCAUGCCUCAUUUGCUCUCCAAGUUAUCACUGCAAGAAAUAUCUUUAUAGGUUUCAUUGUGCCGAUAAAGGAAAUAGGCAUAAGACCACAGACUUCAAUCUAUCCAGCUUUGGUAUAACAGUUUAUAUUUUCCAGCAUUAAUGGGUAAGUCUUGAUGCGUUAUUGUUGUAAUAACUGGCUGAUAAACUGAAAAGUGUUUUUCUGAUUGUUUUUUGGCCAACCUCUUACAAGUGUGCUGUCAGAAUGACACAGUACAGGGAAUGUCUUUAUAGU